This is a long non-coding RNA of Panthera uncia (snow leopard), 13332 nucleotides long. RefSeq lists it as uncharacterized. The record is from RefSeq and is a predicted model, not a curated record. The transcript is spliced from 2 exons. Lineage: Eukaryota; Metazoa; Chordata; Mammalia; Carnivora; Felidae.
AUCCGAAUUAGGAAAUCAAACUGCAAAUUCAUAAAAGCUAGAAUGGACCGACAGGUGUGAUCGUUACAGGAACCUGCUGCAGGUACUUGAUACGCCCAGCUGGCCCGGUGGGUGCAGGGUCCUAUCUUCAUGGACAAGUUCCUCCCUGCGUUUAUUUUUUUCCCCGCAUCCCUGCAACUUCAUAAACAAAUGAAUUGGUAAAAACGGGGAAAUCAUCAUAAACGGGCAUCCUGAUGUGCGGACGUAGGGCCACAGAUGGGUGUGAAGACACAUGAGUAUCUGCUUAGCUUCGGUAGAAAUGAAAGACUGAGGAACGGGUGAUUUACUCUGCCACUGUGUAUAGCUUUCAGGUUCUCUGAUGGCCCGGGGGAUAUGCUGUGGAACAGGGCACUCGUGGGCCCUGCCAGUUCGGUUGCUCAGCACAAGGCGAAGCUCUCCGACUCCCUUCCCCUUUAGCAAACUGCUUUGAUUUUUGCCCAGCUGUCCCCAAAGUGUAGUUCCGGGAACAAAAUGCUGAUUCUUCCAUCUUUGCAGAUGUGUUUAAAACCAAUGAAUAUAAACAAUGUAGUUCUAUGGCACACCAUGCAUUCCAUCACAUUUAUGGAAUUGUUUUCAUUCAAGUGCAAGAGGGGUGUGUGUGUGUGUGUGUGUGUGUGUGCGCGCGCGCACACAUGUGUAUGUGUGUCUGAAACCCAAGAUUCUUCAGAAUCGAAACCAAUUUCAUUUUCCUUACCAGGACGAAACGCUCUAGUGUGUGACAGAAAUUGGAUUUCUGAAGGUGGAGAUUGUCCUAAAUGAUAGCAAGUGCUGUCCCAUUCAUCUCCUGUUGAGAUGCUCCCAACACAUUUUUAGAAAGUUACGUCAUCUCAUGAUUGCCAUUAAGUUGACAAAUUGUCUUUUAGAAUCUUAAAAUAGCUACCUCCACUCAGAGGAGAGAAGCCCCCCAGAAUAUAUCCCAUCAGUCAGUGUCACUUUUGUUCAUCCAAAUAAUGUCAUAAAGCAUGCGUGUUUGGAGAACAGUCAGAAUAAACAAAAUAUAGGAGAAAGAAGCCUUUAAAAUAUCCUAUGCUGCUGGGCUAAGUUGUUCGCCAGAAUAUAAAUUUUUGCUUCAUGAUUACCUCAUUAUUCCUCCACUGUUUUGCCAAUGUGCUCACCAUAUUUUGUCACGGUCUUUGCUGUGACUCAUUUGUUCUGCUCCAUAGACUCUAUUGACAACAGACGACCCUAAACGUGUGUCUCAUUCUCAACAAAAUAUCAAUGACAUAUGGUUACAAUUUUUAUGACCCUCCUUUAAAAAAUAUUAUAUACUUUGAUAUUGAUUCAAGACUAUUCACUGAUGAAUCAUCAUUAAUGGGAGUGCUCUAGAAUGGGACAGUAAAAGGACAUGAAACUGUGGGCAGUUUUAAAUUAUGAAUAGCCAUAAAGGGAAGUGCUCUGUCUACCCAGGCAAAUAGUUAUGUGUAUGUUGAGUCGGUAUCUCUGAGCUAGAUCCAUAAGGAAUUAGGUCCAAGAACAACAUAUGGAUUCAGACACGCUUGUAAUCGACACCCGUGUCUUCGGGGCUCCAGUUUGUUGGUUUAGCUUUGUCGUUGGGUCACACAGCUUGACGGAAAGCAUGGGAACCCGCUAGCUUACACUCGGAUGUUGGCUGCUGAUCUUCAACUUAACAAUCAUGCAAUCAGUAGACCAUGCCUUACAGAGUAAUAAGUAAUCAUGAAAAACUUUCAAUCUUCUUGUUCAACCCUCACAUCCCAGCCUGAUACCAAUGCCAGAGCUAAGGGCCGUGUCUGCAAAGGGACUCCCAGCAAUGAGAGGGUAAACCCCCUGCUUCAAAAUGGAAGCUGGGUGUCGGGUAAAUGUGUAGCAGGCCACUGUGUUUGACAGAAAAUCAUAGGCAUUGAACAGCUGGAUCCAGAUGGGAGCCAGGAGGGAGGAGAUGCCAGGACUAUUAAAAACUGGGUUUAAGGACGAAAACCAGGCAAGAGCAUGGGACACUGAAGUGGGUUGGCUUGAGGAUUUGUAUCGUAGCCAGGAGAAAAAAAAAAUUAAACUACCAUCUCUUGAGCUUUGAAGUUGUCAACCCCCAAAUUCACAGUUGUCUUCUUUUUCGUCAACCAUGAGAGUCUGUUUCAGAUCUUGGAAACCCAGAGCCCGGAUUAGUCGGGAGUGCGGCAUUUCUCCCUAUCUGUUCAGGAAACGAUCACAUCGUGUGGUCAAGGGUGAUACCCUUUACUCAUUCAAAGGGCCACACAUAAGGCCGGGAUCCUGAGGGUCUGGGGGGCUGUGCAAGAGGACAACCUGAGGGACAAAAUGUGAGCCCAUUGGUCUCCACUGGGGCCCCGCCCAUAAGGCUGUUUCCUCUCUUGCGUCAUCAUCACCAUCACCACAGUGUUCUGACCAGUUCAGAAAGAAAGGUUUCAAACGAGCAUGGCCCAUUCAAAACUAGAUGGUUGCUAAUUGGUAACAGAGUUUUACAUACAUUUACAGGACAGCGUGGAAAGGCCUGGGGCUCCCCUGGCUUCAGCAGGAGGUAACCAGCUGCAAGCUCUGUCUUAGGGACAGAGUCCUGGUGUAGGUGGGGCGCACUUUGCUCAUUUCACCCAGACCCCAGCUCAGUCCCGCAAGGAGCAGCCCGCUUCCUCCGCCCCGAUCUCCCGGUCACUGUGUCUUCCUGCCUGGUGUUCAGAAGCCGAGAUCCCAAUGGUCCCUAUGAUAUGCAGAAUAGAAUAAAGGAGAGAAACACUGUUAAUAAUCGUGCUUCCUCGUGGGCUGCAUCUUUCUUUGAAAACGACGAACACUGCAUUUGGGAAGAAGUUGUCACACUGGUAUCGUGUUCCUUAAAGCUCACUUCUCUGUCAUGAAAAAUCCAGUCCAGCAGGAGUUGUGGGACAGCUCUAACCUAGGGGGCCAGCACCCCCCCCCUCCCAACCAUGACUGUGAAUUCAUGUUAUUCCAACAGAGUAACUGACACUGAGAGGCAGGGAAUGGGGGCUGGCAAGCAGACGAUGGCCUCUGUUCUCUGUUGGCAGGGAUAAGGAGGAACCGAUGCAAUUAUAAAUAGAAUUAUAGCCCAAACCAGGAUUACUUGGAUAACUCAGUCGACACAAGGUUUUGUUUGAUUCAAUUUUCUAGAUGAUUUCAUCAAUGAUUAACCUAACUUUGUUAGUGGAGAUCUAAAAAGAGAGCCAGCUUAAGCAUAUUCAGCAAGGCCAGCAUUUACUUUUUGCUUUUUUUGAACCUGAGGCAUAUGUCCAGUUAUUGACUUCUUUGGCUAGACAGUGCUAUCCACAUUUUUUUCUUUUUUUGACAAAGCAGGAAAACUUGCUUAGAGACUCUGUUUAGAAACCUGAAAGAAAAUGGACAAGCUGGAGAAGUAUUCAUGCUGAAUAAUGACCUUAGAUGCCUUACACAAAUGGCAUACCAGGUCAAACUGCCGAAUCAGUCCGUCCGUCCGUGUCCGUCUCUCUCUGUCUGUCUCACAACAAUAUCAUUUUACUUCUGUCUCUCUCCAUAUAACAUGUAAUUCUGUGCCUAUUGAAUAGUGGCUUUUGUUCCUGUGGCUCAGCUAUCUUCAAAAAUAAAAUUAGGAUGGUUGUUUGCAUUCUAAAUUGAUAUCUUUGACUUACCGGAAUGCAUAGCCUUUGGAGAUGCCUAUCAAAGGCCCAACACUGGAUUGCCCAACCCAUCCACUCUUGCCAUUUCCUAAAAAUGAAAUUACUGGAUAACAGAUUUGAUUAGGAAAUUCUUUCAGAAGGUUUUCUUGGUUUUAGUCUUAUUUGGGCUUAAGCUUGUAAACUUAGAAACUGCAAGUAAGAGGAUUUCUUAUUUGGGAAAGAAUGUACGUUUAGAUAAUGUCACCUUCUAGAUUUCUGAUAAAAUAUUCGCCUUCUUAUAUCAAUCGAAACAGGAAAACCCUCUUUUUUAAUCAAAAGCUUCUAAACAAAUGCAAAUGAUAAUCAAUUAAUAAGAGUGGAUCUUGUUUUGAGCAUUAAAUCUAAGAAGUUUUCUAUAUGAUGUAAAAGUUCAGAUAAAAGCAGAGAAUCUUAAUAUGUAGACCACUAUCUUAUUUUUCACUUUUACUUGCAUAUUUUAUAUCAAAAAAGUCAUAGUAAGACAUUUAAAAAGCGAAUUAUAUGCUAGAGAUCAACCUUUUAGCCUACUUGCACAAGGUACCCUGACUCUAAUGAUGCAGCCAUGAUAGGCUAGAUGAUAAGCAUAAAUAGUACAUAAUUUUGUGUCUUUAUGUUCGGCAAAGAAGUUUAAGAUGGGAUUAUCAUAAAAUAAUCCUAUCGCAUUUAAGCCGCACUGAAACUCGAAGACGGGGACACUGAAGCCUAAAGAGUUUGAGUGAAGUUUCUGGCCAAAAUGUUCUUGUUCUAGCUGAUUAUUUUUCUUUUCAGUGAGUGACAUUUUAUUGCAUUUAGUUGACAUUUCAAGGCUUCCCCUCCACCUUUCCUAUUCCUACCAAGUGUAAAGAUUUUUUUAAAUCUUUCAGGUAAAAAUAGAAACUAAGCAGAAACAAAAAGCAGUCAGAGGGACUGAAAACAAGGAGUAGUUAGAUGGCAGGGAUAGUGCCUCUGAGCAUCAGAUACCGAAUGAACCUUAUUCAAGGCAGGCAUCUGAGACCAAGUUCAAAGCUGUCAACCAGGGAUUGGAAUGGAGAGUCUCCUUAAAAAGGUCUGGAAAGAGCCACCACCACACUGUCCCAUUCCUGACAGCCAGAUUCCAAAACACAGCCUCUCAGCCCCGGCCGAGCUACCAGAUGGCUCGGGUCUGGGGUCUGUCCAGUUACCUUGUGAUGGAAUCACCAGUCUAGGAUGAAAAAUCGGAUGGCCCUACCUUCUGACUCAAGAUUUGUCGGCGGACUAAAAUUUCAGAACAGAUGAGGAAAACAAAUCCUAAGACAAGUGCCUCUUUAAAUCAACAAUCAGAAGACGAAUGUGGUUCUGGUAACAUGUAAAUAAUAAUGGCGAUCCUAAAAAGCCUUCUUUAAAAGUACACUAAAACACAGCCAUCUUUGAAGAGUGGUUAUUGAAUAAAAUUUCAAUCACACAAACUGCCAAGGUGCAGUAUUAUGAAAAUAAUGAAAUCUAUUUUGGCCAUCUUCCAGAUUCUAUUCCAAAAAUGUUUUAUUUUGGUAUUUUUAUCAUUGAAUAGAUUCGUAAGUUUCUUUAAAAAAAGAAAAAAAGCAGAUCCUGUUCGCAAAUUUUGUGACAUACUGUAAAUUAAGAGAAUCUCAAAUAAUUAGAAAAUGCUCCACCCAGACUCCCCCUCCCCGGGAGCUAGUGAUUUUUACUCAUCCUUCAAAUGAGAACAGGUCAAUGGUAGAGAUCAAUCACCAGUUACAUUAAAACCACAUUACAGUAUUUUGCAUCCCCUCAUAAUGGAGUUUGCAUUAGAACCUUUGGCAAGUAAAGGAAGCAGGGGCUUCUAAUAAAACAAAGCAAAUUAACCAGUUGGAAAAUCAUAGAAAUGAAAAUAAUGUCCCCUGGACUUAAUCAGACUGGAUCCAUUUCAAGAGAGAACUAAUGUAUUAAAAAGAUGGCACUGAAUUCACACAAAACAAAAUUCAGAGAAAUUGAGAGAUUAAACAUAUGAAAGGGGGAAAAAUGAUGACUUUAGAUACAGUAAAAUGAGGAGGAGAAAUAAAAUAGUGAACUUCUAAACCAGCAGAGGAGAAAAAAAAUUAAAACAUAUCAUUUUGGGUGCCUGGGGGGCUCAGUCGGUUAAGCGUCUGACUUCCUUUCAGCUCAUGAUCUCACGGUUUGUGGGUUCGAGCCCCAGGUCGGGCUCUAUGCUGACAGCUCAGAGCCGGAAGCCUGCUUCGGAUUCUGUGUCUCCUUCUCUCUCUGCCCCUCCCCUGCUUGCACUCUGUUUCUCUCUCUCUCAAAAAUAAAUAAAAAAUUUUAAAAAAUAUAUCAUUUCAACCGAGCAUGUAAUGAAAAAAAAAGAUGAAAAGCAUGAUUAGUAGAUAUCUUAAAAUAAAAUUACAGAUAUUAAUCUAAAUAUGUCAGUAAUCAAUUACAAUAAAUAUAAGCUGAUUAAUCUCACACACUACAAAACAGAAUAUAAUUUUAGUAAUUUACCAGUAAUAUAAUGUACUAUAAUUAAUGUCCUAUAAUAUUAUAACAGAGUUUUAUUUUUUAUAAGGAGAUUUUCUCCCGCUUACUUAGAAUUUUUCAGCAACUAAGAUUUUUCUCAAUACAGAUAGAUCCAAAAUAUCAUCUCAAAAAUUUUCAUUGUCUCCAGAAGAUAUAUAAGAAAAUCAUUCGGGCUCCCAUAAUAUCUAGUUAGCCUGGGAAGUAGGUGAUAUUAUUUUAAAAAUUCCCAGAGGCAAAAUGUGGGUUUAAAAUUUACAUUUUGAUGUAAGAAUUUUUUUUUAUCCUGCCAUAGGCAUUUGUAUCCAGUGAGUUUUUAAGUUGUAUUUUUAAAAAUAACUUUUAUAUGCUGACUUUUGGGAAUUUUUAAAUGAUAUCACCUACUUCUUAGAGUUAUGAAAUAUCAUAGUAACCCCAAAAUGCCUUCCUCAUCUAUCUUUUGGAGACACGGAGACAUUUUUGAAAUGAUAUUUUGGAUGUCCCUGUGUUGAGAACAGCUUAGCUGCUGAAAAUUCUAAUUAAGUGAAAGUAAAUUUCCCUACAAAAAAUAGCAAAGGAUUUUAUCAAAAACUGCUGUAAUAUGGUAAGAUGGAGAGAUGAUGCCCUCAUAUAACUUAAUGCUGAAGUUUGAUAGAAUAAAAGUCAUAUUUAAGGAGGAAAGAGUCCCAAGUACAUCUAAAAUUGUGAAAUGAUGAUUUCUUGACAGAUGUCAUUAAAAUCCCGUCAUUAUUACUGUGGAAUCUUCUCUCGAAAAGAAAAAUUUUUUUUCCACAAGGAACCAUGAGGUUGUGAAAGAGAAAGGGAGCAUUCGUAUCCAGUGGGAAAUCAAACUGCUGUUUACUUUCUGUGCAUUUUGGUGAAACUCGGGCAGGGGUCCCUGCUGGGCCUAGUUAGUGAUCUCCUACUGGGGCUGAGCUGAGCCAGUCUUCUGCAGGGGUCACUGUGGUUCUCUUACUGGGCAUCUCUCUCAUCACUGAGAGCAUGUCACACCCUGGGCUUGCACAUGGGCGGAUGACUGGACUUGAGCCAGCAGGGAUUGGUUUGAUAAAGAAAGAGAUUUGCACAAUGUCCUGGUAAGAGGAAUCAGACAGGGAUCUUUCCUAAAGAUCUUUAAAUUAUGGCUGCUGUGUAAGUGGCGGUUUGCUAAAGGACACAAAAAAGAGAAGGAAGAAAAAUACGUAAAGGUCUUAAAUGUUUGGAAAGCUCAGUAUUUCUUGAGCGACUCUACUUUUCCUCAUCUAUUAUUGUUUCCUCCUCUCUUCCCGCUCCCUCUCCCUCUUUCUCCCUCCCUCCUCCCCACCUCUCUCUCUCUCUCUCUCUCUCUCUCUCUCUCUCUCUCUCUCACACACACACACACACACACACACACACACACACACAAAGCCUUGCAGCCCGCACUGAAUUUUCUAUCUCAAUUCUGUGACAUCAUCGGUGAUUCUGGGGAGUCAGUAAUUGAACCGAAGAGCACCCCAAGAAGCUAUAAAUUCCUCUUUCAAACACUGGCAUUAAACACAUGUAGGAUGCCAUCAUUGAUGCCUCUUCCUAAGUAAUGUCAAGCACAGAUAGAUUAGGUUGCCCCAAACUGAUCAUAGUGAAGCAUUGAAGGGUUUAUCAUCUAAGCAAUUUGAGGCUCUAGCUUGAUUGAUGCACAUGUCCCAACUCUCCACUUUUGCUGCAGUGAUCUGACCUACAUAAUUUUAUUCAUAUCAGAAUCACGAACUUUCUCUUCAUGAUCAGGCCAGAUAGGAGAAACACAGAUUGAUGAAUGGGAUUUACCCGUAUUCCUCCUGGAGCGGUUUCUGAGAGUUAAUACUUUAAAAUACACUAAGCCUUACCACACUUUUUAGACCAGCACAUUUAACUCUUCAAGCAACAACAAAUGUACUUUUGAGUGAUCAGAGGCCUUUAUAUUUAGGGGGUUUUGAUAAUGCAUGUUAUCCAGCACGUAAAUGAUUAUUUUCUUAUUUGUCUUUAGGGUACUGAAAAUUCCGUGUAUUUUCAAUAAAAAAGACUGCGAACUGAUUUUAAUAAAUAAAUUAUCUGUGUACUUUCUUCGAUAUGAAUGAACUCAGAGUAUUAAUCAAGACUGAAUUAUUAUUUAACUCUGUUGUAGCUAACCAGGAAAAUAAGUUUCCAAAUAUUUUGAUAUGCAAUUAAGGCUCAAGAACAGUAGUGUCUGGGGUCACCUAGGUGGCUCAAUCGUUUAUGUGUCCGACUUCGGCUGCAGUCAUGAUCUCUCGGUUCAUGAGUUCGAGCCCCGCAUUGGACUCUGUGCUGACAGCUCAGAGCCUGGAGCCUGCUUGGGAUUCUGUGUCUCCCUCUCUCUUGGCCCCUCCCCUGCUCACACUCUGUCUCUGUCUCCGUCUCUGUCUCUCUCUCAAAAAUAAAUAAACAUUAAAAAAUUAAAAAAAAAAAAAAAGAACAGUAGUGUCUGUGUGACCUGAGAGAACCUUCCAUUUUUCUCCCCUUGUAGAAAUGGGCACAAUAAUCACACUUGCCUUAUACGAUUUUCUUAAAGAUUAAUUUUUUAAUCAAGUAUUUUUAACAUUGUCUCUUUUCUCCAGUGUUCGCAAUUUAUAAUUAUUAUUUUAUUUCUGUUAUUCGAUACAAGCAUGGAGCGAGAUAAAGGCUUUGGGAAUGGGAGGUACCUUGUCAGGUACAAGGAGCGAUAUGUCCUGGUUUUAUUGUUAAUAUCUCUCCUUUUGAGAUCUAAUGGGAAAGACAACUUCUCUUGGUGCUAUAAUUUUUUGAAAACUGAGUAUGAAACUGAGAAAACAGAUGUUAUUACACAAGCAGAUUAAAGGAUUUGGGAAUUGUCUUCCUUUUUUUUUUUUUUUAUUUUGAAAAUAAAGUGGAAGCAGAUGGAAUUUAGCGUGAAAUUAGUACUGAAAUAAAACGAACUUGGAAGUAUAUUUUGGAGGUUUUAUAUAAUUGUCAUUCAUGCCUCCAGAGCUUUUCCAAAGCUCCUCAUUUAGCCAAGAGAUCAUUAAGGAUACUUUGAGUCUUUGGGUUGUGUGAAAGGAACAUGCCUGAUGACUGUCCAUUACUGUCUGGUCCAGAGCAGAGUCAGGAAACCCGGAUGGGGAGCCUUCGACCUUUCGUAGAACCUGUGCAGGUUGGGGGGGCGGGGGCUCACAUUACUCUUGGUGAAUUCACAGGUGACGUCUUCACUCCGCGACCGAGGAUUUCAGAUUCUGAAUGAGCGGGGCCUCAUUUGGGGAAAUCUGGGGCCAUGUUAUGUGUUGAAUUGUUACUGAUAGUAACAGUACCAGGUAAAGCCAUUUUCAGGUUCUCCUCCCUGCUUAAUGGAUUUGCCAAGCAGUCAAGUCGUCUUCCCCACGAACCGCCCAUGACCUUGAGCUUGUUCCAGGGAGCCACUCUCCGUGGGCCUUGUCUCGAAAGCAGCUUGGGCCAUGUUGACACUGGCUCGUUUGGCUCACACUGGAGCUGAGAGCAGCUAGACUUUCCUCUGAAAGUCUGACAUUUUGGGUGCCUUUUCAUAAUGCCUGCGCCAAUUUGCAUAUUGACACAGCCUCCCUGUCAGGAGCCAGGUGCCCUGCGAGCCCCGAAGUGUUUCUCUCACUCAGCUCUCCCCAGCUCUGGACCUGGCUUGGCUGAGUGUCCUUUGCUAAAGGACAGAGGGCCUUCUGUCUUCUUUUAUUCUUUAAAGAUCAGGCUCAAGUGAAUGCAUUUCAUUUUAAAAACCACACCCUCACAAUUUUAUUACAUGGGAAAGCCAUACGUACACCGAAGUCCUAACUGCAGACCUGUCUUUCCUCUCCUCUUGGCUGGUGACAUUGGUCUCAGGAGUUGACACCCUGUGAGAGCUAAGUUAGAUUAAUUUUCUUCAAGCUGUCUCGAUUUAUCCCACCUCCUUCCUCGCUGACUAGUGAAAGGGAAUCACUUCGAGAAGCUGGAAGUUUCCGGUGCACCUUACCGUUAGCAGGUUUGUCUGUGCGGCAGAUAUGAUGCUUUUAUUUAAAUUUCUUACCAGAAGCAACCAAGGAAUGUGUUACCUGUGACUUCUCUACUUUCCAUAGAAACCACAAGUCCUUUCUGGAAACUUCUGCAACAUCAUCUCUCUUUGUUUUUUUACAGUAGUCUUUAUUGGCAUCAAACCUUUGAACCCCAUCAUUUGACAGGAGUCGUUUGCUGUGCAAGAGUCUGGACUGUACCCAUGUGCUAUUACUGAUAUCCUAUCAAUAUUUUUCAUCACGACUUAACUUUAUCAGAGAAAGCAUGCCCUCCUGUUAGGCGGAGUGAGUCACGGUCAGGCUUGCUUCUAAAACCUGAAACAUUUCAGUAUGUUUUCCUUCAAAGUAUUUGACUCAUCAACCGAGAAGAUAUAGGCCUCCUUACUCAAGGUUUGGUUUGAUUUAGACCAGUGAGGAGGAUGGGUCCUUAUGCCGUUGCUGUGCUAUUUAGUUUAUUUAAAUAAAGCUUAAACUUAAAGCUUACAUUUAUUUGAAUAAAGCUUUAUUCAACACAAGCUGGAUGCUUCGUUGGAAGAAAAGUCUCACAGGAUUUAGUGCUGUGAACUUAACUGUUUCUAAGCCUGGAUUCAUUGACUUGUCUGCUAUGAAACCCUUCUGUUUUCUUUUCUCUAUCCAUUUUUCAAGAUUGAAUCAAUAUUCCCAACUCCAUUUGGUUCUUUGAAAAUGUGGGCUCCUAAAACCGGAUGAACUGACUUCAACCAAAAGAUGAAAUGCUUAACCGAUGUUGGAACAAAGAAGUGCCUAAAACCCCUUUCUGGGCCCCACCAAGGCUUUCUAUAGCAGAGGUUCCCAAGUGUGUGCCCCCCUAACCCUUCCCACAGUAGCAAGGGCAUCACAUGGCCUGGGGACUUGUUGGAAGAGCAAAUUAGCAGGCCCCACCCCUUCACCCAGCAGUGUGUUUUUCUGUAAGCCCCCCCAGGCAGUCCUGGUGACCAGUAAGGUUGAGAGCCUUAGAGUUGAUUAUACCCUCCCUGUAUUCCCCUUCUGAGACUUUCUUUUGCUUUCUUGGUCUUUCUUCCCCUCCUCAAAUCCCACUCUUCCAAAGAAACCGCUGUCAGGCAUGCGGAGUAGUGAUUCGUACCUGUGUCUGAGGUAUUGGCUGUGUGUGCCUUUACUUCCGGUCGGACCCUAUCACUUCCCGUCCCCUGUCCUGGUAAAUGGAUUGCAUCAACCUCCCUGGUUCUUCAAAAUCCCCUCAAUCCAGGACUGUCGGGGAUGCCUUCCCACACUGACUCUGAGCCUGGUGUUCUGACUCGCCGUGGCCAAUGAGACAAGAAUAAACUUCACCCACAUACAGAGGUGGAACAGCCUCCCGAGUGCCCUUGCUUACUCUUUUGUUCCUCCGCUUUUAUUUGGAGAAGACACCUGGGCCAGCUUCUGGAGGAUGAUGUUUACUGGGAAAGAGGGGCGUCUGCCAAGGCCCCAGAGAUUCACACAGCUUCCUGGCUGAACUGUGGCGGAUUGCAGACACGAGAGUGAAUCCCCGGCUAAGCUCCUUAGCGGUAAAAAAUGGUCGCAUUUCCGGUAAGGCCCUGAGUUUUGGGGUGGUUUGUCACUCAGCAACGACUAACUGCUACACCUGUUAAAGGAGCCUUAGUGUCUCAGCUAAGAGGAAGAGGGCAAUACAGAGGCCCCUCUCAGUGUCUUGGAACCCAUAUCCGUCCAUUUGAGAGGCUUGACCACAUCGUUCAGUGUGGGUAGAACCCAAGCAUACAGUUGAGUCAAAAUGAAAAUUCGUGGGUGGGUCUUUUAAGUGGCCAGUUUGAAUUUGUGGCUGUUGCAGAGUUUUUCUUGUUAAACUCUGAAUAUAGUUUGCCAGACUUUUCUUAAACCUCAGGAGUUGCCUUUGUCCCUGUGUCCUUCACACCCUCCAUCUGUAUUUCUUCUCUGCAGAUGUUCUGCUAACAUUGCCACAAACCACCCAGGGUGAAAUGAGAUUUGCAGGGAGACACUGGGAUGGAUUAAACAGAUCUUUUAUAGGAAGGACGAUUGCAAAAGUAAUCUCUUAUUUGGUUGAAGUAAAUAAAUGGAUACAGUGAAUAUUUUAGACUCUUGCUUUUGAAAUCUCAAAGAGGGGAAUUCCCUAAUACUAACUUGGACGUUCAGGCGAGGGGCUCCUAGGUGGCGCAGUUAGGCAUCCGACUCUUGAUUUUGGCUCAGGUCAUGAUCUUGCAGUUCAUGAGUUCGAGCCCUACUUAGGGCUCCGUGCUGACAGUGCAGAGCCUGCUUGGGAUUCUGUCUUUCUCUUUCUCUCUCUGCCCUGCCUACACUCUCUCUCUCUCUCAAAAUAAAUAAAUAAAUAAACUUUUUUUAAAAAGUUUAACUGAGACUACUUUAUUCUUCAGACAGCUUCCCUACAUAGGUUUCUCUCUUAUAGAGCUUCAUAUCAUCUAUUUUUAAUAUUUUGAUUCAGCGAUUGAUGUUUUAGUUUUGGUAGAACAUUACACCUUAGCUAAAAAUCUAAUUCUUAGUUUAGUUGAAAGCUUUCAACCGGUGACAUGAAAUUUUAACGGGACUAUUUAAACUCAGUCAUCCAUGACCCCUUACUGAGUAGACUUGACUUUUCAAGCAGUCCUCCCUAGAGGGCACCAUAUCCUCACUUCCCAACUGGGUCCUUCUAACGUUGGCUGCUGGCCCCAAUAACAUCAUGUGAGGCUGAAGUCACUUAGAUUACCACAUUGGAAUCUUUUCGUAAAUCUAUCUGCAGUGGAGCCUUUAUUUCAGCAUGAUAAAUGCAUAUCUUCUGGCACGUAUUUUGUUUAAGCAUUACAAGUGAGACCUUGUUUAGGAACAGAGGCAAUGGUGUUUAUUUGGCAUGGUUGGUUGUUCAGUCAGUUCAGUCCAUCUCUGUGUCCACAUACAGUGGCCUGAGGAACAUUAUGGACCUCUGAUGGGGUAUCAGAUAGAAUACUAAGGACAGAUUCGGUGGACCUGUGCUUUCAUAUUGUGUAUGUCACUACAGAAGGUACUUACCCCAUUACAUUUCAGUUUCCUUAUUUGUAAGAUUGGAGAGCUAGGCUUUUUUUUUUUUUUUUUCAUGAUCCCAUUAGCUCUGUAAUGUGAUCUUUGGUACAUAAUAAUAGUUCUGUACCGUUUGAUAGAGGAAGCGAUACUAAUGCUCCUAACUGCUAAUUCUAAGGAAAUUUAGGUAUGACCCACUGAAAUUUAGGUCAGCCUGAAGAAAAUAUAUUAAAGAAGAAUUACAGCUGAUUAUUGAAAAGCAUAAAUGCUAGUAAAUA